RNAcentral lists this long non-coding RNA (999 nucleotides) under Malus domestica (apple). Its description in RNAcentral is "long non-coding RNA (MDOM_LNC012485)". The record is from RNAcentral. Lineage: Eukaryota; Viridiplantae; Streptophyta; Magnoliopsida; Rosales; Rosaceae.
UGAAGAUCUUCGUAUCCUCGUAAAGAAGAUCUCAUUCAUAUUUUGUCCAUAGCAUGAUUCAACUAACCCAUGCAUUAAUUUAUUUGGUCGAUCAAUGAUGUGAAAGGACGUACAAAAACUAGUGGUUGGUUGUUGCAACUCUAUUGUCAUUGUUUUUGUUUUAUUUACAUUCUCAAAUGUUUUCGUUAAGGGCGGUGCCGCCACCAAUAAAAAUAAAGAAUUGUUAGUUCUUGAUUAUUUCAUUUCAUCAAGUUGAUCGUACGACCAAUUUUAUGGCAUUGUUGCGAGUGACCUACCUUUUGAUGCAGACUCUUCUAUUUUAGGAUCCCUAUACUUGGUUAUAGGAUUCAAAUGAGUCCAAGUUCAGCUAAUUAUUAAAGACAAUUUUGCUCAUCUAAGGUCCUAUUGUGGGGCUCUCUUUGGUGUAGCCUUUCGAAGAUUGUACGUGGAUCUACAACAGACUCUCCCAGAUUCGGUCCAUGACUUGGACAUCUUCACCGUCCAAAGCAUAAUUGCUUUGAAACAGCUAUUGUUGUGGUAGAGUGAUUUGGUCGGAAGGAAUAUAAAUUCAUUCUCAAUGAAACAUCAAUAGUUGGAAUCAAAUUCAAGCAUCACAGCGUGUGGAGGAAGAUGUACAAAUCCUUUUACCUGUAAAAGAACAAAUAACUAUAAGUAGCCAAUGACCGGAGGGGUGUGUGUCGGUCAAAUGCUCUCUGAUGAUCAAGUUAGUAGGCAAAUAUAUGAUACUCAAGCAAUAGGUAAGAGAAUAGUGAGGGAUAAUUGUUGUAGACAUGUAAAUUUCGGUGAAGAAAUACUCACCAACAAUUAAAUUUUGACAUGUCAAAGCUUAAGUGGUAUGCAUCAUGUGUCUCACAUAUUGUACACAUGACACGUGACUCAUCAAAACUAGACGAGUCAUCAAGAGUGACAUGUGUCGAUAUUUGGUGGAGAAUUAAGGAAAUAUUUUUAUUAAUUCUUUGAUUAAUUUCAAUUUAAAUA